Molecule: ribozyme, 304 nt
Organism: Gadus morhua (Atlantic cod)
Lineage: Eukaryota; Metazoa; Chordata; Actinopteri; Gadiformes; Gadidae
Rfam family: Nuclear RNase P
About the family: Ribonuclease P (RNase P) is a ubiquitous endoribonuclease, found in archaea, bacteria and eukarya as well as chloroplasts and mitochondria.
Source: Ensembl
GUGGGAGGAAGCUAAUUGUAGAGGCCACCAGCAGAGUGAGAAUUCACUCGAUACCAACGCCUCGGGGAAGGUCUGAGACAGGAGCCAUUGGUCCCCCUCGCAGCGGGUCACCAUAACCUGGUGAGGGUGCACAGAAAUUACUGGCCUCACUGAGUGGGGAUCACAGGAGAAGCUGCUUGAUGUCCUUCAGACCAACUGGUGGAUGUGAACUCAGUGGCUUGGAAACGCCCACGGCUGGCAGAUGAGUCCAAUGGAUGAGGUGGAGCACAGCGCCAGAACCCAAUUCAGACUACUCUCCUCCCAC